RNAcentral lists this ribosomal RNA (393 nucleotides) under uncultured bacterium. RNAcentral's name for it is "bacterial SSU rRNA". It matches the Rfam family "Bacterial small subunit ribosomal RNA", at positions 521 to 916 of the family's 1533-position model. The record is from RNAcentral.
UAAUACGGAGGAUGCAAGCGUUAUCCGGAUUCAUUGGGUUUAAAGGGUGCGCAGGCGGAAUGAUAAGUCAGUGGUGAAAUCUCCCGGCUCAACCGGGAAACUGCCAUUGAUACUGUCAUUCUUGAGUACAGUUGAAGUGGGCGGAAUGUGUCAUGUAGCGGUGAAAUGCUUAGAUAUGACACAGAACACCGAUAGCGAAGGCAGCUCACUAAGCUGUAACUGACGCUCAUGCACGAAAGCGUGGGGAUCAAACAGGAUUAGAUACCCUGGUAGUCCACGCUGUAAACGAUGAUCACUCGUUGUUGGCGAUAUACUGUCAGCGACUGAGCGAAAGCAUUAAGUGAUCCACCUGGGGAGUACGGCGGCAACGUUGAAACUCAAAGGAAUUGACGG